UGGGGAAUAUUGGACAAUGGGGGGAACCCUGAUCCAGCAAUGCCGCGUGUGUGAAGAAGGCCUUCGGGUUGUAAAGCACUUUCAGUAGGGAGGAAGGGGAUAAUGUUAAUACCAUUAUUCAUUGACGUUACCUACAGAAGAAGCACCGGCUAACUCUGUGCCAGCAGCCGCGGUAAUACAGAGGGUGCAAGCGUUAAUCGGAAUUACUGGGCGUAAAGCGUGUGUAGGUGGUUAUAUAAGUUAGAUGUGAAAUCCCCGGGCUUAACCUGGGCACUGCGUUUAAAACUGUUUAACUAGAGUGCUGUAGAGGGUAGUGGAAUUUCCAGUGUAGCGGUGAAAUGCGUAGAUAUUGGAAGGAACACCAGUGGCGAAGGCGACUACCUGGACAGACACUGACACUGAGACACGAAAGCGUGGGGAGCAAACAGGAUUAGAUACCCCCGUAGUCC
This 449-nucleotide ribosomal RNA is filed under the name uncultured bacterium. RNAcentral's name for it is "bacterial SSU rRNA". It matches the Rfam family "Bacterial small subunit ribosomal RNA", at positions 355 to 796 of the family's 1533-position model. The record is from RNAcentral.